GGUGAACGCUGGCGGCGUGCCUAACACAUGCAAGUCGAACGAAGCAACUAUCUUGCUUGCAAGAUAGUUGACUUAGUGGCGGACGGGUGAGUAACGCGUGGGUAACCUGCCUCAUACAGGGGGAUAACAGUUGGAAACGACUGCUAAGACCGCAUAACCCGCUAGUGUCGCAUGACACGGACGGAAAAAUAUUUAAUUUUAACGAGUUAAAAUUUGGUAUGAGAUGGGCCCGCGUCUGAUUAGCUAGUUGGUAAGGUAACGGCUUACCAAGGCGACGAUCAGUAGCCGACUUGAGAGAGUGAUCGGCCACAUUGGGACUGAGACACGGCCCAAACUCCUACGGGAGGCAGCAGUGGGGAAUAUUGGACAAUGGGGGAAACCCUGAUCCAGCGACGCCGCGUGAGUGAAGAAGUAUUUCGGUAUGUAAAGCUCUAUCAGCAGGGAAGAUAAUGACAGUACCUGACUAAGAAGCCCCGGCUAACUACGUGCCAGCCGCCGCGGUAA
Molecule: ribosomal RNA, 504 nt
Filed under: uncultured bacterium
Lineage: Bacteria
Description: partial 16S ribosomal RNA
Rfam family: Bacterial small subunit ribosomal RNA
Source: RNAcentral